This 338-nucleotide ribosomal RNA is filed under the name uncultured Leptolinea sp. RNAcentral's name for it is "bacterial SSU rRNA". It matches the Rfam family "Bacterial small subunit ribosomal RNA", at positions 1031 to 1382 of the family's 1533-position model. Lineage: Bacteria; Bacillati; Chloroflexota; Anaerolineae; Anaerolineales; Anaerolineaceae. The record is from RNAcentral.
AGUAGAGGUGCUGCAUGGCUGUCGUCAGCUCGUGUCGUGAGAUGUUCGGUUAAGUCCGCUAACGAGCGCAACCCUCGCUGUGUGUUAUAUGUGUCACACGGGGACUGCCGGUCUUAAGCCGGAGGAAGGUGGGGAUGAUGUCAAGUCAGCAUGGCCUUUAUAUCCUGGGCUACACACACGCUACAAUGGCCAACACAAUAGGUUGCUAAGCCGCGAGGUGGCGCCAAUCCAUAAAGUUGGUCUCAGUUCAGAUUGUAGGCUGCAACCCGCCUGCAUGAAGAUGGAGUUGCUAGUAACCGCAGGUCAGCUAUACUGCGGUGAAUACGUUCCCGGGGCUU